Molecule: transfer RNA, 72 nt
Filed under: Toxocara canis (dog roundworm)
Lineage: Eukaryota; Metazoa; Nematoda; Chromadorea; Rhabditida; Toxocaridae
Rfam family: tRNA
About the family: Transfer RNA (tRNA) molecules are approximately 80 nucleotides in length. Their secondary structure includes four short double-helical elements and three loops (D, anti-codon, and T loops).
Source: Rfam by way of RNAcentral
GGAGCAGUAGCUCUGUGGUAGAGCUUGCGCUUCGUAUGCGGGAAAACCUGGGUUCCAUGCCAGGCUGCUUCA